Molecule: long non-coding RNA, 603 nt
Organism: Lolium rigidum
Lineage: Eukaryota; Viridiplantae; Streptophyta; Magnoliopsida; Poales; Poaceae
Exons: 4
Source: RefSeq, a predicted model, not a curated record
ACGGUAACGAGCUGGGGAGUAGGUCUUCCCCUCCCUGCUGCCUCUGGCCGCGGUGGCGAGGCAUGACACAGGUACAUAACUUUAGGCCUACUUGAACCUCAACUUUUCUAUUGGAGGAAGUACAUCACUUCAUUUAGAAAACUCUUCGAUUUCAGAGAAGAAUAUUUUGGAACACAUGUCAAAGAAGAAUAUAUACUCAUAUUGUCACAGUUUCAUGAGAUGAUGUUCAAUGAAAAGACACUUGUGGAGUAGCUGCAACCCUUAGAACCAUGCUAUUAUGGUGCUUCACUUUCGUCUUCUCUUUAUAUGUUUGUAUCAAUUUUUGUGCUGAACAUUGUCUACUGACCGUAUGGGAGCAUGGCCGAUUGCGCUGGUUUACGAAUGGGCAUGGAUGGAAGAUGGUUUUAGUCAAUAAAGAACUUAUGUUACCCCAGGCCAAGCUCAAGUAUGGGGAUAGAGUUGAAGUGAGGUUUUCUCCACAUAUUACUCGAGAUAAUUUACAAGUUAGCUACUACUCUUGAGUUUGUACAUAAUGAGACCGUGUGAUAGUAACUUGUGCUGUAAAUAUGAGUUUUGAUGCAAUAAAUUCAAGUUUCAAUCAAA